Molecule: long non-coding RNA, 605 nt
Organism: Felis catus (domestic cat)
Lineage: Eukaryota; Metazoa; Chordata; Mammalia; Carnivora; Felidae
Exons: 2
Source: RefSeq, a predicted model, not a curated record
GACCCACUGUUCCCUUUAUGAAGACAGGGGCUCUUGUCACCGUCUCUGACGCCUCACAGAGGGGGUUAGCACAGCGUGGGCACAGUACACGGUAAGGGGGGGCUUAGGUUUGUUGCCUUUGAUCCCCUCCUUCCUAGUCCCUUUCUGAUUGUACCCAGGUGUGCAGUGGGGACUGUCUGCGGGGACAGAGAGGGAGUUGGCCACUUCUAGGCCGAAUGGGUGAAGAGUCUUUUGGGUUCUUAAUCAUUUGGUUUAAAAAACUAAAGCCACCGCCCUGCUUCCGGUAAACUCGAGCCCCGCUUCAGCACAACAGAUAACAUCUAAGGAAUAACUGGGCGGGGUGGUCAUUAACAUUUUCCAAGACCACUGACUCCCAGAGACCCCCUAGCUCCAGGACCUAAGUGACCUGUGAAGGACACCUAAACACCUGUCUGUGUUCUUGGAUGCCUGAGAAGACUCGUGCACCAGACCACUGUCCUCAGUAAAACCUCAAGGCCCCAAACGAAGAUGAGACUCACUCUUAUUUCCUUUCCGAGGGUCCCAGACACUAUGCUUCUAUCUGCACUCUCUUUAUAUCCUCAAUAAACUCACUUCUUCUCAGCUUA